CGAGUGGCGUAAGGGUGAGUAAUGCAUUGAUAACCCUACCUUUGAGAUGGGAACAACAGCGUUCCAAGCAAUUGGAGCUACCGAAAGGGCUGCUAAUACCCAAUAAAACUAUUAUUGCUUUGGUGAUGAUAGUCAAACGUGCGGAAUCGAAAGGUUCCGUUUGCUCAAAGAGGGGUCAAUGUCCUAUCAGCUUGUUGGUGGGGUAAUGGCCUACCAAGGCGAAGACGGGUAGCCGGCCUGAGAGGGUGGUCGGCCACACUGGGACUGAGACACUGCCCAGACUCCUACGGGAGGCUGCAGUCGAGAAUCUUUCGCAAUGCCCGCAAGGGUGACGAAGCGACGCCGCGUGCGGGAAGAAGGCCUUCGGGUUGUAAACCGCUGUCGGGAGUUAGGAAGUGCAAGGAUGUUAAUAGCGUUCUUGCUUGACUAAGGCUCCGGAGGAGGCCACGGCUAACUCUGUGCCAGCAGCCGCGGUAAUACAGAGGCGGCAAGCGUUGUUCGGAAUUAUUGGGCGUAAAGAGCACGUAGGCGGCUGUGUAAGUCGGUUGUGAAAGCCUUCCGUUUAACGGAAGAACGGCAUCCGAUACUGCAUAGCUUGAGUGCGGGAGGGGAGAGUGAAACUUCUGGUGGAGCGGUGAAAUGC
Molecule: ribosomal RNA, 643 nt
Filed under: uncultured Planctomycetales bacterium
Lineage: Bacteria; Pseudomonadati; Planctomycetota; Planctomycetia; Planctomycetales
Description: bacterial SSU rRNA
Rfam family: Bacterial small subunit ribosomal RNA
Source: RNAcentral